RNAcentral lists this ribosomal RNA (566 nucleotides) under uncultured archaeon. RNAcentral's name for it is "bacterial SSU rRNA". It matches the Rfam family "Archaeal small subunit ribosomal RNA", at positions 312 to 879 of the family's 1478-position model. The record is from RNAcentral.
CGCGAUUCGCCCUUCGGGGUGCCCAGGCGCGAAAACUUUACAAUGCCGGCAACGGCGAUAAGGGAACCUCGAGUGCCAGGUUACAAAUCUGGCUGUCGUGAUGCCUAAAAAGCAUUGCAUAGCAAGGGCCGGGCAAGACCGGCGCCAGCCGCCGCGGUAACACCGGCGGCUCGAGUGGUAACCGUUAUUAUUGGGUCUAAAGGGUCUGUAGCCGGCCGGGUAAGUCUCUUGGGAAAUCUGGCAGCUUAACUGUCAGGCUUUCAGGAGAUACUGCCUGGCUCGAGGCCGGGAGAGGUGAGAGGUACUUCAGGGGUAGGGGUGAAAUCUUGUAAUCCUUGAAGGACCACCAGUGGCGAAGGCGUCUCACCAGAACGGACCUGACGGCAAGGGACGAAAGCUAGGGGCACGAACCGGAUUAGAUACCCGGGUAGUCCUAGCCGUAAACGAUACUCGCUAGGUGUCGGCCACGGUGCGACCGUGGUCGGUGCCGUAGGGAAGCCGUGAAGCGAGCCACCUGGGAAGUACGGCCGCAAGGCUGAAACUUAAAGGAAUUGGCGGGGGAGCAC